RNAcentral lists this unclassified non-coding RNA (250 nucleotides) under plant metagenome. Its description in RNAcentral is "partial contains small subunit ribosomal RNA, internal transcribed spacer 1, and 5.8S ribosomal RNA". The stretch from base 196 to 250 matches the Rfam family "5.8S ribosomal RNA", at positions 1 to 54 of the family's 154-position model. The record is from RNAcentral.
GUAGGUGAACCUGCGGAGGGAUCAUUACAGAGUUCAUGCCCUAACGGGUAGAUCUCCCACCCUGUGUUAUUAUUACUAUGUUGCUUUGGCGGGCCGUCAGGCUCACGCCCGACCACCGGCUCCGGCUGGUGCGCGCCCGCCAGAGGACCCAAAACCCUGAAUAUUAGUGUCGUCUGAGUACUAUAUAAUAGUUAAAACUUUCAACAACGGAUCUCUUGGUUCUGGCAUCGAUGAAGAACGCAGCAUCUGA